AGAGAAUAGAUACCCAGGUAGUCCACGCCCUAAACGAUCAUAACUGGCUUUGCGGAGUAUCGACCCUCUGCGAGGCGAAAGCUAACGCGUUAAGUUAUGCGCCUGGGUAGUACGAUCGCAAGAUUAAAACUCAAAGGAAUAGACGGGGACUUGCACAAGCGGUGGAUCAUGCGGCUCAAUUCGAUGACAAACGAAGAACCUCACCAGGGCUAGAAACCCACACGAUCGCUCUAGGAAACUAGGGCCUCCGCAAGGCGGGUGGGCAGGUGAUGCAUGGUCGUCGUCAGUUCGUGGCUUGAGUUGUUCCCUUCAGUGGGGUUAACGAACGCAACCCGCGUUGCCUGUUUUAUAUGUCAGGCGAGACUGCCCUCUCACGAGGGAGGAAGGUGCGGAUGACGCCAGAUCAGCAUGUCCCUCUGAUGUCCUGGGCUGCACGCAUGAUACAAUGGGCGCGACAACGAGACGCGACGGGGUUAACCCUGAGCAAAUC
This 490-nucleotide ribosomal RNA is filed under the name uncultured bacterium. Its description in RNAcentral is "bacterial SSU rRNA". It matches the Rfam family "Bacterial small subunit ribosomal RNA", at positions 773 to 1273 of the family's 1533-position model. The record is from RNAcentral.